Molecule: long non-coding RNA, 2969 nt
Organism: Larimichthys crocea (large yellow croaker)
Lineage: Eukaryota; Metazoa; Chordata; Actinopteri; Sciaenidae
Exons: 5
Source: RefSeq, a predicted model, not a curated record
UGUCUGUUUUGACUGGCUAUUACUCGUGACUUCUAAACAAUAAUUUUUCAAACAAUCAUAUUAUAUUUACCAUAGUAAUAAUUACAGACAGUCAACUCUAAUCUAUCCCAUUUUUCUCAUUUGCUGAUCCAAAAAAUGAGCUGAAUCGUGACUCAAAACUGUAAUAUCAUCCAAAUUGUGAAUUUUGUGAUCCACGACACCUAUUUUAAAUUCCUAUGGAAAUCUAGUUCUAUUUUAAUAUCUGCUUCACUCCUUCUAUUUUGUGUCAUUGUAUUUUACAGCCACUUAUGUAGAGGCCAGGGUAAAGCUACAUCAAGCUGAGUAUACAUCAGACCUGACAGACACCGAAGAUUGCUCGAUAAAAAGAAAGGCAAGGUCAAAACUCUUCCAGAGUCAGUGCAAGCAACUAGAAUCAAGUGAGCAGUCUGAUUCAGCGGAGGAACUUCCACCCGCUCCCCCAGAAAAACUCCUUUCAGCAAAGAAAAUGACCAGCUGGAUCACCAGCCCCACUGCCCAGCGAGUCGCCAGUUCAACUGUCCAGAGGGUUGCAAGUCCCAGUUGUGAAGCCAUGUUCUCUAAACUUUUUACAAUUGUAGAAGAAAUUAAGGAGACCCAGAAGGGUCAUGGUAAGAUGCUAAAUGUCCUGCUGAAGAAGCAAGAUGCAUCAAUGAUGGAGGUUUCUGAUGGAGUGGUCUUCCCGCUGCAAAGUCAAGCAGAUGUUGAGGCUUUUGAGGAGAAACUGGGGGACCGCAGUCUAAUGUCUGCUUUUUUUUCAAAUUGAUUUUCAUUAGCCUACAAAAUAAAAAUGUGUUACAUUACAGUAAAUUACAUAAAGGCUACAACUUCUUAACAAAUGUUUAGUUGACUUUCCGGCUGAAUUUUUAAAUUUUUGAAGCUUAUUGUCUUAGCAGUUAAUGUAAGCCUUUUUUUCUCCUUUUGGCUCUCAUUCCUAGGUUGCCAUGGUGGCAAAUAUAGGAGACACAAGUGUAGAUGAUGCAACGAAGCGAAUGAUGAAAUACAUUCUGUCAAACGAGCUGGCAUUGGACUAUAUCCUGUUUGGUUGUCACAGGAAAAAGAAGUUUAAGGACUUGCGUCUUUUCAACGUUGUGUAUGGAAAAGGCCCUUAAGAAGAACUCAUUGACGGCACAGGUGAACCAGCAGGAAGCAGAGAGGGCACUGUCGAAAUGGUUCACUGGGGCAAGAGACAGAGGAGGACGAAGGGCAUCCAGACAGCCAGUGCCAAAUUAAAGUAAUUGAAGCAGAAUUUGCUCGCCUUAUAUCAGUUGACCUGAAGGGCUCCCUCUUUGCUGGGCUGGACCAGUAUAUGACAAGGUUCCUGGAGCUGUACAAAAGAAAAGAGUGGCAUAGUGGACCUAGCCAGGCUGAUGAGAUGUCUCGAUGAGUGUUAAGGAAUGAUUUUUUUCAUCAGUGCCUCUCACACUUGUUAGCAUCUUCCACACCAUAUUUGUGAAACUUUCUAACUGAAAGAUACCCUGGGUGUGUUGAACCUGCUUCGUAGUGCAGGCCCCAGAUGUCAAAGAAUGAAGCAAACACUAAUAUCGACAGUGGAUCAUUAAGGUCUUACAGUAUUAAAUUUGAUUUUUAAAAUGUGAGGCCAUAAAAUGUCUUGAUGUCUUGUUUUUACUUGUGAGGUCUUAAAUAACUGUUUACAAGCAGAUACAAAUAGCAGUUGUUGAGGAGUACAGUUUUUUUCUUUUUGAGCAGAGCUCCAUACACCACAAGAAGACAGUUCUUCUGCUGGGCCUUCCUCACUUUCUCAAGGAGGAUCCCUCCAGUUUUUUCAAGACUGUUGAGGCCACAGAUGAUGAGGAGACGUUCACAUGGGGAAUGAAAGUUGGUGUGGUCAUGGUGAAGGAUGGAGAAGACAUCAUUGACACAGCAGUGGUCCUUGAGGAAGCAGUGAUUAUGACCAAUCAGCAUGACCUCCCAUGUGCCAUUGCCUUGCUGAUGGGUCUUUUUUUUUCUCUGAACAUUGACUAUCCAAAAGAACUAAAGUACACGUUCGAAGUGAUUCAAAAGGUCCUGAUGAACAUAGGUGAGGGACAGUGUUCCUCACUUGUGGGACAUGGGUUACGUAACAGGCUGCUGAGAUGGUAUCAGAACUCAUCUCAUGCCUGAGUGUUAAAACUUUAUUUUUCAUGUCAAGUUCUUAUUUUGUCUAUCAUAGGUUUUGCUAAUGCAAAUUUUUCAAUUUUUCACUUAAAUUCGUAUUGUAGUAAUUGUAAUUAUUUAGCGCUCAAUGGACAUCUAGCUCAAAGAAGACGCUCCUUUUGUUCACCUGUACUCCGUCCACACACUCGGAAAUUUCUUCCAUUUCGCAGAUGUUCCGUUUAGACAUGUUUACUAUUUAGACCUUGUCAGGCCGCAGAGGACACUUUAAUGGUAUGCUGUUCCAUUUACCAGUGUGGAAUAUGAGGUUACAAUGGGGACAAAUGAACAGAAAAAGAAAAUGAGUCAUUCCACAUUUCAGAUCUAUACUCUGAAACUGUUGGACCUCCAACAUUUAAUUAAGAUGACCAGGUUCAGCUGUUGCUUCCUUUCCCACAACCCGUUGUACAAAGAGCGGCGUUUUUCAAGUGUUAUUGUUUCUGUGUCCCGAGGUUUUUCGGGAGGGGCGCGGGGAAAAGUGAAAAUCCGAAGUACUGUUUUUUGACUUUUGUGACAAAUCAUUUUCAUAUUCAGUAGUCCCCUGUAGAGGCUCAACUGUUACUUACCUACAGUCCUUUGCUUCCUCAUUUACUGCCCCUCUGAGAAAAUGCCCAGUUGUCCAGCUGUGUAUUAUCACUUCACACUUUGUUGACUUGAAAUGUAUCAUCCACAUCCAUUCCCUGCGCUUGUUUGUGAACUGCUGAUGUCGAGGCAGAGGGGGCAGGGGGUUGGACGAACACACUUGAUUAAAAGUGUUCACUUGGGUUGGCAAUGUUAUGCAAUGCACCAAUAAACGCUCA